This 464-nucleotide ribosomal RNA is filed under the name uncultured Acinetobacter sp. RNAcentral describes it as "bacterial SSU rRNA". It matches the Rfam family "Bacterial small subunit ribosomal RNA", at positions 920 to 1382 of the family's 1533-position model. Lineage: Bacteria; Pseudomonadati; Pseudomonadota; Gammaproteobacteria; Moraxellales; Moraxellaceae. The record is from RNAcentral.
CCCGCACAAGCGGUGGAGCAUGUGGUUUAAUUCGAUGCAACGCGAAGAACCUUACCUGGUCUUGACAUAGUAAGAACUUUCCAGAGAUGGAUUGGUGCCUUUCGGGAACUUACAUACAGGUGCUGCAUGGCUGUCGUCAGCUUGUGUCGUGAGAUGUUGGGUUAAGUCCCGCAACGAGCGCAACCCUUUUCCUUAUUUGCCAGCGGGUUAAGCCGGGAACUUUAAGGAUACUGCCAGUGACAAACUGGAGGAAGGCGGGGACGACGUCAAGUCAUCAUGGCCCUUACGACCAGGGCUACACACGUGCUACAAUGGUCGGUACAAAGGGUUGCUACCUAGCGAUAGGAUGCUAAUCUCAAAAAGCCGAUCGUAGUCCGGAUUGGAGUCUGCAACUCGACUCCAUGAAGUCGGAAUCGCUAGUAAUCGCGGAUCAGAAUGCCGCGGUGAAUACGUUCCCGGGCCUU